RNAcentral lists this ribosomal RNA (111 nucleotides) under Flavobacteriaceae bacterium CG1_02_35_72. The record is from RNAcentral. RNAcentral also lists the same sequence under 4 other names. Lineage: Bacteria; Pseudomonadati; Bacteroidota; Flavobacteriia; Flavobacteriales; Flavobacteriaceae.
UAAGGUGAUUAUUGCGAUAGGGCUCACCUCUUCCCAUUCCGAACAGAGAAGUUAAGCCUAUCAGCGCAGAUGGUACUGCCGUUUUGGUGGGAGAGUAUGUCAUCGCCUUUC